UGUGCCAGCCGCCGCGGUAAUACGUAGGGUGCGAGCGUUGUCCGGAAUUACUGGGCGUAAAGGGCUCGUAGGUGGUUUGUCGCGUCGUCUGUGAAAUUCUGGGGCUUAACUCCGGGCGUGCAGGCGAUACGGGCAUAACUUGAGUGCUGUAGGGGUAACUGGAAUUCCUGGUGUAGCGGUGAAAUGCGCAGAUAUCAGGAGGAACACCGAUGGCGAAGGCAGGUUACUGGGCAGUUACUGACGCUGAGGAGCGAAAGCAUGGGUAGCGAACAGGAUU
RNAcentral lists this ribosomal RNA (277 nucleotides) under uncultured Actinomycetales bacterium. RNAcentral's name for it is "partial 16S ribosomal RNA". It matches the Rfam family "Bacterial small subunit ribosomal RNA", at positions 504 to 779 of the family's 1533-position model. The record is from RNAcentral. Lineage: Bacteria; Bacillati; Actinomycetota; Actinomycetes; Actinomycetales.